RNAcentral lists this ribosomal RNA (526 nucleotides) under uncultured bacterium. RNAcentral describes it as "bacterial SSU rRNA". It matches the Rfam family "Bacterial small subunit ribosomal RNA", at positions 470 to 993 of the family's 1533-position model. The record is from RNAcentral.
UGACGGUACCUGCAGAAGAAGCGCCGGCUAACUACGUGCCAGCAGCCGCGGUAAUACGUAGGGCGCGAGCGUUGUCCGGAAUUAUUGGGCGUAAAGAGCUUGUAGGCGGUUUGUUGCGUCUGCUGUGAAAGACCGGGGCUUAACCCCGGUAUUGCAGUGGGUACGGGCAGACUAGAGUGCAGUAGGGGAGACUGGAAUUCCUGGUGUAGCGGUGAAAUGCGCAGAUAUCAGGAGGAACACCGAUGGCGAAGGCAGGUCUCUGGGCUGUAACUGACGCUGAGAAGCGAAAGCAUGGGGAGCGAACAGGAUUAGAUACCCUGGUAGUCCAUGCCGUAAACGUUGGGCACUAGGUGUGGGGGACAUUCCACGUUUUCCGCGCCGUAGCUAACGCAUUAAGUGCCCCGCCUGGGGAGUACGGCCGCAAGGCUAAAACUCAAAGGAAUUGACGGGGGCCCGCACAAGCGGCGGAGCAUGCGGAUUAAUUCGAUGCAACGCGAAGAACCUUACCAAGGCUUGACAUAUACUG